GACGAACGCUGGCGGCGUGCUUAACACAUGCAAGUCGAACGGAAAGACCCUGCUUUUGUGGGGUGCUCGAGUGGCGAACGGGUGAGUAACACGUGAGUAACCUGCCCUUGACUUUGGGAUAACUUCAGGAAACUGGGGCUAAUACCGGAUAGGAGCUCCUGCUGCAUGGUGGGGGUUGGAAAGUUUCGGCGGUUGGGGAUGGACUCGCGGCUUAUCAGCUUGUUGGUGGGGUAGUGGCUUACCAAGGCUUUGACGGGUAGCCGGCCUGAGAGGGUGUCCGGCCACAUUGGGACUGAGAUACGGCCCAGACUCCUACGGGAGGCAGCAGUGGGGAAUAUUGCACAAUGGGCGGAAGCCUGAUGCAGCAACGCCGCGUGCGGGAUGACGGCCUUCGGGUUGUAAACCGCUUUCGCCUGUGACGAAGCGUGAGUGACGGUAAUGGGUAAAGAAGCACCGGCUAACUACGUG
Molecule: ribosomal RNA, 468 nt
Filed under: uncultured bacterium
Lineage: Bacteria
Description: partial 16S ribosomal RNA
Rfam family: Bacterial small subunit ribosomal RNA
Source: RNAcentral